GGUUGUAAACCUCUUUUMUCMGGGAAGAAUUAUGACGGUACCUMAGGAAUAAGCCUCGGCUAAUUACGUGCCAGCAGCCGCGGUAAUACGUAGGAGGCAAGCGUUAUCCGGAUUUAYUGGGCGUAAAGAGAGUGUAGGCGGUUCUUYAAGUCAGAUGUGAAAUCUCCCGGCUUAACCGGGAAAAGUCAUUUGAUACUGARGGGCUUGAGGUNCAGCAGARGGAARHGGAAUUCCCGGUGUAGCGGUGAAAUGCGUAGAUAUCGGGAAGAACACCAGUGGCGAAGGCGGNYUUCCUGGGCUGUUUCUGACGCUGAGGCNCGAAAGCGUGGGGAGCGAACMGGAUUAGAUACCCKGGUAGUCCACGCCGUAAACGRUGGACACUAGGUAUKGGGAGUAUCGACCCUCUCMGUGCCGMAGCUAACGCUUUAA
This 429-nucleotide ribosomal RNA is filed under the name uncultured bacterium 38-2. RNAcentral's name for it is "partial 16S ribosomal RNA". It matches the Rfam family "Bacterial small subunit ribosomal RNA", at positions 421 to 863 of the family's 1533-position model. The record is from RNAcentral.